Molecule: ribosomal RNA, 447 nt
Filed under: uncultured bacterium
Lineage: Bacteria
Description: bacterial SSU rRNA
Rfam family: Bacterial small subunit ribosomal RNA
Source: RNAcentral
CGGGAGGCAGCAGUUAGGAAUCUUCGGCAAUGGGGGAAACCCUGACCGAGCGACGCUGCUUGAAGGAUGAAGGUUUUCGGAUCGUAAACUUCUGAACGAGGGACGAAAAAUGACGGUACCUCGCUAAUAGCACCGGCUAACUCCGUGCCAGCAGCCGCGGUAAUACGGAGGGUGCAAGCGUUAUCCGGAAUCACUGGGCGUAAAGGGCGCGUAGGCGGUUUGUUAAGUCCGAUGUUAAAGACCGAGGCUCAACCUCGACACGGCGUUGGAUACUGGCAAGCUGGACGGUUGGAGAGGAAGGUAGAAUUACCAGUGUAGCGGUGGAAUGCGUAGAUACUGGUAGGAAUACCCAUUGCGAAGGCAGCCUUCUGGACAACACGUGACGCUGAGGCGCGAAAGUGUGGGGAGCAAACCGGAUUAGAUACCCGGGUAGUCCACACCCUAAAC